This 21-nucleotide unclassified non-coding RNA is filed under the name Mus musculus (house mouse). RNAcentral describes it as "oocyte_clustered_small_RNA2305". Lineage: Eukaryota; Metazoa; Chordata; Mammalia; Rodentia; Muridae. The record is from RNAcentral.
AUCUUCUUCUUUUAGGUCUGG